Molecule: ribosomal RNA, 497 nt
Filed under: uncultured bacterium
Lineage: Bacteria
Description: partial 16S ribosomal RNA
Rfam family: Bacterial small subunit ribosomal RNA
Source: RNAcentral
GAUGAACGCUGGCGGCGUGCCUAAUACAUGCAAGUCGAGCGAGCGGACGAGAAGCUUGCUUCUCUGAUGUUAGCGGCGGACGGGUGAGUAACACGUGGAUAACCUACCUAUAAGACUGGGAUAACUUCGGGAAACCGGAGCUAAUACCGGAUGAUAUUUUGAACCGCAUGGUUCAAAAGUGAAAGACGGUCUUGCUGUCACUUAUAGAUGGAUCCGCGCUGCACUAGCUAGUUGGUAAGGUAACGGCUUACCAAGGCAACGAUGCAUAGCCGACCUGAGGGGGUGAUCGGCCACACUGGAACUGAGACACGGUCCAGACUCCUACGGGAGGCAGCAGUAGGGAAUCUUCCGCAAUGGGCGAAAGCCUGACGGAGCAACGCCGCGUGAGCGAUGAAGGUCUUCGGAUCGUAAAACUCUGUUAUUAGGGAAGAACAUAUGUGUAAGUAACUGUGCACAUCUUGACGGUACCUAAUCAGAAAGCCACGGCUAACUACGUG